Molecule: ribosomal RNA, 465 nt
Filed under: uncultured bacterium
Lineage: Bacteria
Description: partial 16S ribosomal RNA
Rfam family: Bacterial small subunit ribosomal RNA
Source: RNAcentral
GACGAACGCUGGCGGCGUGCUUAACACAUGCAAGUCGAACGGAAAGGCCCCUUUGGGGGUACUCGAGUGGCGAACGGGUGAGUAACACGUGAGUAACCUGCCCUUGACUUCGGGAUAACUUCAGGAAACUGGGGCUAAUACCGGAUAGGAAUCCUUGCUGCAUGGUGGGGGUUGGAAAGCUUCGGCGGUUUUGGAUGGACUCGCGGCUUAUCAGCUUGUUGGUGGGGUAGUGGCUUACCAAGGCUUUGACGGGUAGCCGGCCUGAGAGGGCGACCGGCCACAUUGGGACUGAGAUACGGCCCAGACUCCUACGGGAGGCAGCAGUGGGGAAUAUUGCACAAUGGGCGGAAGCCUGAUGCAGCAACGCCGCGUGCGGGAGGACGGCCUUCGGGUUGUAAACCGCUUUCAGCAGGGGCGAAGCUUGUGGUGACGGAACCUGCAGAAGAAGCACCGGCUAACUACGUG